RNAcentral lists this ribosomal RNA (253 nucleotides) under uncultured bacterium. RNAcentral's name for it is "partial 16S ribosomal RNA". It matches the Rfam family "Bacterial small subunit ribosomal RNA", at positions 524 to 776 of the family's 1533-position model. The record is from RNAcentral.
UACAGGGGGCUCGAGCGUUAGUCGGAAUCACUGGGCUUAAAGGGUGCGUAGGCGGCCCGCCAAGUGCUUUGUGAAAUCCCCGAGCUCAACUCGGGAACUGCAGGGCAAACUGGUGGGCUUGAAGCAGGUAGGGGCUGGAGGAACAGUUGGUGGAGCGGUGAAAUGCGUAGAUAUCGGAAGGAACGCCGGUGGCGAAAGCGGCGUGCUGGACCUCUUCUGACGCUGAGGCGCGAAAGCCAGGGGAGCGAACGGG